UGAGGAAUAUUGGUCAAUGGAGGCAACUCUGAACCAGCCAUGCCGCGUGCAGGAAGACUGCCCUAUGGGUUGUAAACUGCUUUUAUACGGGAAGAAACAACUCUACGUGUAGAGUCUUGACGGUACCGUAAGAAUAAGCACCGGCUAACUCCGUGCCAGCAGCCGCGGUAAUACGGAGGGUGCAAGCGUUCUCCGGAAUCAUUGGGUUUAAAGGGUCCGCAGGCGGUCGAUUAAGUCAGAGGUGAAAUCCCAUAGCUUAACUAUGGAACUGCCUUUGAUACUGGUUGACUUGAGUUAUACGGAAGUAGGUAGAAUAAGUAGUGUAGCGGUGAAAUGCAUAGAUAUUACUUAGAAUACCGAUUGCGAAGGCAGCCUACUACGUAUAUACUGACGCUCAUGGACGAAAGCGUGGGGAGCGAACAGG
Molecule: ribosomal RNA, 424 nt
Filed under: uncultured bacterium
Lineage: Bacteria
Description: bacterial SSU rRNA
Rfam family: Bacterial small subunit ribosomal RNA
Source: RNAcentral